Molecule: microRNA precursor, 163 nt
Filed under: Pelobates cultripes (western spadefoot toad)
Lineage: Eukaryota; Metazoa; Chordata; Amphibia; Anura; Pelobatidae
Source: RNAcentral
GCUGACACAUCCUGGCCAAUCUCCAGCAGACCCUCCCUCCCAGACCCUCCUACUUCCUGGACAGCAUCCAUGUUUCAACAUCCAUGUUUCAACAUGGAUGCUGUCCAGGAAGUAGGAGGGUCUGGGAGGGAGGGUCUGCUGGAGAUUGGCCGGGAUGUGUCAG